AUUUUUCCAGUAUCCAGACAUUCAGAUAACCAGAACUUGAAGGGGAGGAAGCUAUGGUCUGCAUUUUUUCUUCAGGAAACAAGUAAGUCAGAAGUGCUGAAAACAGGACUUUAAGCAGAAAAAGCAACAUAUGAGACCAAUGGACUAUGCAUUCAUGCCUUCUUCAAACUCACUUUCUGCGAAACCAGGCUCCUUCCCCGUGCUGGCAGAAGUUUCAACAGACCUCUCUCCUAUAGGUCACGCUGACAUCUUACAUUCCAUGAAGAGGAUGGUGAGAUCGAAGAGCCAGCCAGGUGUGGCAGAGGGAAGAUUUCUCCGACUAAGCUAGGAGAACUGACUCUCCAAAGAGAAUCUAUAAGAAUACCAGGCUGGGAUGCCAAAACUACAUGCUGAUACAAAGCAUUUGCAAAGGAUGAAGAAAAGCAGAUCACUCUAAGAAUGACAGGUUUCCCGGGUGCUGUGAAGCAUACCUAAACAGAUAGCUGCAAAGAAGGAUCUUUUCUCUAUUUCAAGACAUGAACACUGCCCCAUCCCCACUACUGGUAUUUUGUACCCUAAACAAAGUUGGGUAUUUGCCUGAUAUAACCUGGAAAAGGUGGUGCAUUAUACUUUACAUAGUGAUUUAUAGUUUACAGGCUGCUUUUACGAUGGUCUCAUUUAGUUUUCCAAAAUCAAGCUGUGAUAUAGUGCCAUUAUUCCCC
Molecule: non-coding RNA, 701 nt
Filed under: Pan troglodytes (chimpanzee)
Lineage: Eukaryota; Metazoa; Chordata; Mammalia; Primates; Hominidae
Source: RNAcentral